This 301-nucleotide ribosomal RNA is filed under the name uncultured bacterium. RNAcentral's name for it is "partial 16S ribosomal RNA". It matches the Rfam family "Bacterial small subunit ribosomal RNA", at positions 509 to 809 of the family's 1533-position model. The record is from RNAcentral.
CAGUAGCCACGGGAAUACGAAGGGGGCUAGCGUUACUCGGAAUUACUGGGCGUAAAGGGCGCGUAGGCGGCACGAUUAGUCAGGCGUGAAAUUCCUGGGCUCAACCUGGGGACUGCGCUUGAUACGGUCGAGCUAGAGGAUGGAAGAGGGUUGUGGAAUUCCCAGUGUAGAGGUGAAAUUCGUAGAUAUUGGGAAGAACACCGGUGGCGAAGGCGGCAACCUGGUCCAUUACUGACGCUGAGGCGCGACAGCGUGGGGAGCAAACAGGAUUAGAUACCCGUGUAGUCCCUGUCUCUUAUAU